GUCUAUGGCCACACCAUCCUGAACAUGCCCAAUCUUGUCUGAUCUUGGAAGCUAAGCAGGGUCGGGCCUGGUUAGUACUUGGAUAGGAGACAAUAAAACAUAGCUAAGUCAUGAGACU
This 118-nucleotide ribosomal RNA is filed under the name Peromyscus maniculatus bairdii (prairie deer mouse). The record is from RNAcentral. Lineage: Eukaryota; Metazoa; Chordata; Mammalia; Rodentia; Cricetidae.